GUAGCUCAGAGGUAGAGCACUCGCCUGGCAUGCGUGAGGUACUGGGUUCGAUCCUUAGC
This 59-nucleotide transfer RNA is filed under the name Ictidomys tridecemlineatus (thirteen-lined ground squirrel). Its description in RNAcentral is "Spermophilus tridecemlineatus (thirteen-lined ground squirrel) tRNA". It matches the Rfam family "tRNA", at positions 7 to 64 of the family's 71-position model. Rfam says of the family: Transfer RNA (tRNA) molecules are approximately 80 nucleotides in length. Their secondary structure includes four short double-helical elements and three loops (D, anti-codon, and T loops). Further hydrogen bonds mediate the characteristic L-shaped molecular structure. tRNAs have two regions of fundamental functional importance: the anti-codon, which is responsible for specific mRNA codon recognition, and the 3' end, to which the tRNAs corresponding amino acid is attached (by aminoacyl-tRNA synthetases). tRNAs cope with the degeneracy of the genetic code in two manners: having more than one tRNA (with a specific anti-codon) for a particular amino acid; and 'wobble' base-pairing, i.e. permitting non-standard base-pairing at the 3rd anti-codon position. The record is from Rfam by way of RNAcentral. Lineage: Eukaryota; Metazoa; Chordata; Mammalia; Rodentia; Sciuridae.